UACGAAGGGGGCUAGCGUUGCUCGGAAUCACUGGGCGUAAAGCGCACGUAGGCGGCUUUCUAAGUCAGGUGUGAAAUCCUGGAGCUCAACUCCAGAACUGCCUUUGAUACUGGAAAGCUUGAGUUCGGGAGAGGUGAGUGGAACUGCGAGUGUAGAGGUGAAAUUCGUAGAUAUUCGCAAGAACACCAGUGGCGAAGGCGGCUCACUGGCCCGAUACUGACGCUGAGGUGCGAAAGCGUGGGGAGCAAACAGG
Molecule: ribosomal RNA, 253 nt
Filed under: uncultured bacterium
Lineage: Bacteria
Description: partial 16S ribosomal RNA
Rfam family: Bacterial small subunit ribosomal RNA
Source: RNAcentral